GCAUGUGAGGCCAGUCUGGCUUCAACAUCUGUCAUCCCAUUCAUCACCCUUGCUGAUCUGGCCCAUCCCCCUUAUCAUCUCAUGUGUAUUCUUCCCAACAAUGUGUACUUGGUCAUAGAAUAGCCUCUUUGAUAGAGCAGGACUGGUCUUAAGUCAAGGGUGCAUAAGUAGCUGAGCUUCCCAGAUACAAGGUUCAAACGGGCUCUUAAAGACCAAAUACAUAAGCAGCCACAGAUGCCCAUUCAAAGAGCUCCGAAGGCUAGCGCACAAACAAAGCAGUAAUUGUUAAAUAAAAAAGUGUUC
This 303-nucleotide small nuclear RNA is filed under the name Meriones unguiculatus (Mongolian gerbil). Its description in RNAcentral is "7SK RNA (ENSMUGG00000017381.1)". The stretch from base 1 to 261 matches the Rfam family "7SK RNA". Rfam says of the family: 7SK was discovered as an abundant small nuclear RNA in the mid-70s but a possible function has only recently been suggested. Two independent studies have found that 7SK RNA binds the CDK9/cyclin T complex (known as elongation factor P-TEFb). Lineage: Eukaryota; Metazoa; Chordata; Mammalia; Rodentia; Muridae. The record is from RNAcentral.